RNAcentral lists this long non-coding RNA (1201 nucleotides) under Piliocolobus tephrosceles (Ugandan red Colobus). Its description in RNAcentral is "lncRNA (ENSPTEG00000022840.1)". The record is from RNAcentral. Lineage: Eukaryota; Metazoa; Chordata; Mammalia; Primates; Cercopithecidae.
CCAGAGUUGCCCUUGAAGAGAGGGAUGGAAAAGUGGCUCAGACGUGGGAGGGGGUGACCAAAAGAGAAAGCCGGGACUCCUCACCUGCCCUCUGGGAGAUCAGAUCUCUCCAAGAGGAGCCCCUGGAUUUGGAAAGUGCUCAGGAAGGCAGUAUUGAGCACCAAACCACCCAGAACCCUCCACCUGCUGGCAGCAGCUAGGCCAAACUCUUGGGUUUGAAGAGUGACAGUGCUGAGCACCAGGCUGCUCUCUGGCUUUGGAACCUCCCCAUUGGGCCACAGAUAAUCCCUCAGCAGGCACUGUUGGAGGCCAUACCCUUGUCCCAGCACCAGAGCUCCAGGAAGACCAGGACAUGAGGCAUAAAUUCACGGUGCUUCAUCUCCCUGCUGGGGGACUGAAGAUCACGACCAUUAAUGGCCUUCUCAUCUCAACCUCAGAAAUAAACCUGUCCUCACGGGAGAGAGUGAAUGCCAGUUGAGACCUCACUAAUAUAAAGACACGGCUGCUCACAAAUGUUCCACUGUGAAUCCCUCAGGAGUCCUGAAAUUGGUGGUAGGAUCUCCAUUUUACAGGUGAGGUGACUGAGGUUGAGAAUGAAGAAAGCCAGGCACCCGUGCAGUCUUACAAGGUAUUGUAGCUAAAAGUGGAGUCUGGAGCCACAUACGGGCUCUGCAGCUUUCUAGCUAUGUGACCUUGGGUAACGUCUCAGUCUAGUCUCUGCAGAAUGGAAAUGAUAGUACCUCAUAGGGUUGUGAAGAUUAACCAGUUUAUAGGCAGCAUAUUGAACACAGCAGUAUCUUAGCACAGAAUGUGAGCUACAUAUGCUUCAUGUAUUUACUAGUACAAUCAUGAUCAAUGUCUGAACUAAGUUUAAGAUACUAUAGGCAAGCAAAACUAACUUCUCUUUCCCUUUCUCCUGUCUCCCAAUGUAGAUGCAACAACAUUUUCCUCACUUCCUGGAAAUGGCUCCGUUCUAGCAUUUCAACAUUAUCCAGGAAUGAUGAUUAAGUCAGAGCAUCUCAAAGAGUCUGAGUGUUGAAUCUUCCAAAGUGUUCGAAUCUAUGGUAAGGGAAAUGAAGCAAAAGGUAAGUUGAGGGUUGGACUGUGUACUGUUGGACUCUUGUUCUUAAGCAGUCCCUUGUGGGCAUAUCAGUUCCUGCCCCUGCACAGGCAUGUCUACACACACUCACACACACACACA